UGAGUCCCUAUGGCUCACAGAUUACUACAACACCAGUUGCAGGUACAGGUAAAGCGAUACUUUGACGUGAACGCGAUGAUUAUUCUAUUUGUAGUUUCUUCUUCUUCUUCUUCAUCGAUCUAGGAUGGGUUCAAGGCCGGCAGCCUGGGAUAGCAAUGAUGGAUGUCGUUCAUUUAUCGUUUGUUUUCGUCCGUAGUCGGACCCUACUCUUCUACAUGAUGACUGUAUGUUGUUGUACUGAUGUGAACUUGAUGUAGCUUGUGGUGAGUGUAAUCCAAUUCCAUAUACUCAUCUCUUCAGUACAUGUACUUGUAACGAUAUCCAUUCUUGCGAAACGAUGGGAUGCACUUCUAUCCCUGUCGAGGCCCUCAUGCCAAAAUGAGGAUAGGAUCGCGUCUUGGACGUUACAACUAUGUUCAAGAUAAAUGAGUUUAGUUAAUCAUAUUGCUAAUAAACUCCCACUCAAAUUGACACCCCUCUAGUCAUUGAGUGUCACAUGAUCCAAAUUCACUAACUCAAGUCCGAUCAUUACGUGAGUUAAGUUAGCUUCAGUGCUGAACAUCUCUAUGU
Molecule: long non-coding RNA, 570 nt
Filed under: Hordeum vulgare
Lineage: Eukaryota; Viridiplantae; Streptophyta; Magnoliopsida; Poales; Poaceae
Description: long non-coding RNA (HVUL_LNC019955)
Source: RNAcentral